GGGUCAGUAGGUUGGUCGUGCCACCGGUACGUACUGGUCUCACUGAUUCCUCCUUCCUGAAGAACCGUAAUGCCAUUAAUUUGGUGUUGCGGGGAAACAGGACUGUUACUUUGAAAAAAUUAGAGUGUUUAAAGCAAGCUAACGCUUGGAUACAUUAGCAUGGAAUAAUGAAAUAGGACGAUCGAUCCUAUUUUGUUGGUUCCUAGGAUUGACGUA
RNAcentral lists this ribosomal RNA (216 nucleotides) under Glomeromycotina sp. Its description in RNAcentral is "partial small subunit ribosomal RNA". The stretch from base 40 to 216 matches the Rfam family "Eukaryotic small subunit ribosomal RNA", at positions 686 to 864 of the family's 1831-position model. Lineage: Eukaryota; Fungi; Glomeromycota. The record is from RNAcentral.